CCGCGGUACCCUGACCGUGCUAAGGUAGCAUAAUCCCUUGCCUCUUAAUUAGUGGCUAGUAUGAAUGGAUAAACGAGAAUCAAACUGUCUCUAUAAGACCAAUAAAAAUUAUCCUUCAAGUGAAAAGACUUGAAUCCUAAUAAAAGACAAGAAGACCCUGUAGAGCCUUAGUAUCUAUUAAAUCUCAAAAUAUAAAUAAAAAACUUCUUUUUAAUUUUACUCCAGUUGGGGCGACUAAGGAAUAUCAAAAACUUCCUCCUCUUAAAAGGCAAAUCAGCCAUCCAAAGAUCCACACUUAGUGAUUUAAAGCCCAGGCUACCUCAGGGAUAACAGGCUAAUCUUCCUCGAGAGUCCCUAUUGACAGGAAGGAUUGGCACCUCGAUGUUGGCUUAGGAAAACUUUUAGGUGCAGCCACCUAAAAAGCAGGUUUGUUCAACCUUUAAUAUCCUACGUGAUCU
Molecule: ribosomal RNA, 458 nt
Filed under: Paraonis fulgens
Lineage: Eukaryota; Metazoa; Annelida; Polychaeta; Paraonidae
Description: partial 16S ribosomal RNA
Rfam family: Bacterial large subunit ribosomal RNA
Source: RNAcentral